CCAAUAGCGUAUAUUAAAGUUGUUGCAGUUAAAAAGCUCGUAGUUGAAUUUCGGGAUCAAUAUAUCGGUCGUGCCAUUGGUACGUACUGGUAUCAUUGGUUUCUCCUUUCUGACGAACCAUGAUGUCAUUAAUUUGGUGUUAUGGGAAGUUAGGACUGUUACUUUGAAAAAAUUAGAGUGUUUAAAGCAGGCAUUAGCUUGAAUACAUUAGCAUGGAAUAAUGAAAUAGGACGUUUGACCUUAUUUUGUUGGUUUCUAGGAUCGACGUAAUGAUUAAUAGGGAUAGUUGGGGGCAUUAGUAUUCAAUUGUCAGAGGUGAAAUUCUUGGAUUUAUUGAAGACUAACUACUGCGAAAGCAUUUGCCAAGGAUGUUUUCAUUAAUCAAGAACGAAAGUUAGGGGAUCGAAGACGAUCAGAUACCGUCGUAGUCUUAACCAUAAACUAUGCCGACUAGGGAUCGGAUGAUGUUAAUUUUUUAAUGACUCAUUCGGCGCCUUACG
RNAcentral lists this ribosomal RNA (500 nucleotides) under uncultured Glomeromycotina. RNAcentral describes it as "partial small subunit ribosomal RNA". It matches the Rfam family "Eukaryotic small subunit ribosomal RNA", at positions 591 to 1092 of the family's 1831-position model. Lineage: Eukaryota; Fungi; Glomeromycota. The record is from RNAcentral.